GCAGCCUAGGUCCAUUGGCUAGGCCACUGUCACCUGGGCUGUGAUGUCACGGCCCCUUAGAAGAUCUUGUGGCUACACCCCCCCUCCUCCUUUGGAGGCUGAAAGGAAAAGAAUAAAAAGAGAGAGAGAAGGGUGCUGUGAGAUCUUGCAGACCUAACUCUUCUGAACCUGGUUUCCUGGACCUCCCACCCCACAAAGCUAGAGGAGCCAAAGAGAAAAAAAAAAAAAAACCCACCCAUGAAUAGAA
Molecule: long non-coding RNA, 247 nt
Filed under: Mus pahari (shrew mouse)
Lineage: Eukaryota; Metazoa; Chordata; Mammalia; Rodentia; Muridae
Description: lncRNA (MGP_PahariEiJ_G0006261.1)
Source: RNAcentral